Molecule: long non-coding RNA, 490 nt
Organism: Labeo rohita (rohu)
Lineage: Eukaryota; Metazoa; Chordata; Actinopteri; Cypriniformes; Cyprinidae
Exons: 3
Source: RefSeq, a predicted model, not a curated record
CAGAUGGGAAUUUCCCUUAGACAAAGAUGUUCUAAGGGCAGAAAGGAAAAUGAUUGGUUGACAGAUUCAACCAAUGAAAUUGAAGCAGAGGCGGGGUCAGGAAAUUUGGACUUGUGGAGGGAAUACUUCAGACAGAAACGUUAUUAGCGCUUCGUGGGAGGCAUUUGUUGCAAGAUGCUGUGCAGUGAGAUGGUCAGUGAUGUAGUGUUCCUGGCAUGGAAGUUUCUUGCACAAAAGAAAGUGGUCCAGAAAAUAUAUGAAAAUGAGGAUGUUCAUGAUUCAAUAUCCCAUACUAAAUAGUUUAGUUGCAGGAAGACCUUACAAAGAUUUCUGGAGACUGAGAGACUGAGAGACUGGCUUUGAGAAGAUAUUUGGAAAAGCAACCUCUGACUUUGGGCUUGGUUUAAAGGGAGCCUGUUCAAAUUUGUUGACUCAUGUCUAAAAUAAAAAUAAAAAAUACAAAAAUAAAACACUUAAAAACCUCUAGGAA